GCGGAGCGUCGUUUGCGACGCCCAACACACAAAACAAGCGGUGAGUGCUUUGGGGUGGGGUGACUGCGUACCUUUUGUAUAAUGGGUCAGCGACUUAUAUUCUGUAGCAAGGUUAACCGAAUAGGGGAGCCGGAGGGAAACCGAGUCUUAAUUGGGCGUUAAGUUGCAGGGUAUAGACCCGAAACCCGGUGAUCUAGCCAUGGGCAGGUUGAAGGUUGGGUAACACUAACUGGAGGACCGAACCGACUAAUGUUGAAAAAUUAGCGGAUGACCUGUGGCUGGGGGUGAAAGGCCAAUCAAACCGGGAGAUAGCUGGUUCUCCCCGAAAGCUAUUUAGGUAGCGCCUCGUGAAUUCAUCUCCGGGGGUAGAGCACUGUUUCGGCUAGGGGGCCAUCCCGGCUUACCAACCCGAUGCAAACUGCGAAUACCGGAGAAUGUUAUCACGGGAGACACACGGCGGGUGCUAACGUCCGUCGUGAAGAGGGAAACAACCCAGACCGCCAGCUAAGGUCCCAAAGUCAUGGUUAAGUGGGAAACGAUGUGGGAAGGCCCAGACAGCCAGGAUGUUGGCUUAGAAGCAGCCAUCAUUUAAAGAAAGCGUAAUAGCUCACUGGUCGAGUCGGCCUGCGCGGAAGAUGUAACGGGGCUAAACCAU
This 655-nucleotide ribosomal RNA is filed under the name Salmonella enterica. Its description in RNAcentral is "partial 23S ribosomal RNA". It matches the Rfam family "Bacterial large subunit ribosomal RNA", at positions 566 to 1190 of the family's 2925-position model. Lineage: Bacteria; Pseudomonadati; Pseudomonadota; Gammaproteobacteria; Enterobacterales; Enterobacteriaceae. The record is from RNAcentral.